CGCGUAGGCUGUCCCGCAAGUCCUUCGUGAAAUCCCACAGCUCAACUGUGGAAUUGCGAGGGAAACUGCAGGACUUGAGUCCGGGAGAGGAGAGUGGAAUUCCCAGUGUAGCGGUGAAAUGCGUAGAUAUUGGGAGGAACACCGGUGGCGAAGGCGGCUCUCUGGACCGGUACUGACGCUGAGGCGCGAAAGCUAGGGGAGCAAACG
This 207-nucleotide ribosomal RNA is filed under the name uncultured bacterium. RNAcentral's name for it is "partial 16S ribosomal RNA". It matches the Rfam family "Bacterial small subunit ribosomal RNA", at positions 568 to 774 of the family's 1533-position model. The record is from RNAcentral.